UACGAAGGGGGCUAGCGUUGCUCGGAAUCACUGGGCGUAAAGGGCGCGUAGGCGGCCUGAUCAGUCGGGGGUGAAAGCCUGUGGCUCAACCACAGAAUGGCCUUCGAUACUGUCGGGCUUGAGACCGGAAGAGGUAAGUGGAACUGCGAGUGUAGAGGUAAAAUUCGUAGAUAUUCGCAAGAACACCAGUGGCGAAGGCGGCUUACUGGUCCGGAUCUGACGCUGAGGCGCGAAAGCGUGGGGAGCAAACAGG
This 253-nucleotide ribosomal RNA is filed under the name uncultured bacterium. Its description in RNAcentral is "partial 16S ribosomal RNA". It matches the Rfam family "Bacterial small subunit ribosomal RNA", at positions 524 to 776 of the family's 1533-position model. The record is from RNAcentral.